Molecule: non-coding RNA, 48 nt
Filed under: Trichobilharzia regenti
Lineage: Eukaryota; Metazoa; Platyhelminthes; Trematoda; Strigeidida; Schistosomatidae
Source: RNAcentral
AGCCGGCUGACAAGUCCAAAAUAGGACGAAAUGCGCUUUAUCCUGGAU